This 67-nucleotide transfer RNA is filed under the name Brachylecithum sp. PakAb2. RNAcentral describes it as "tRNA-Asp". The record is from RNAcentral. Lineage: Eukaryota; Metazoa; Platyhelminthes; Trematoda; Plagiorchiida; Dicrocoeliidae.
UCGUCCUUAGUUUAUUUAGAAUUGCAAUUUGUCGGGUUGUUGGAGUAAUUUGAGAUUAUAGGGGGAG